RNAcentral lists this ribosomal RNA (90 nucleotides) under Deltaproteobacteria bacterium. The record is from RNAcentral. Lineage: Bacteria; Pseudomonadati; Myxococcota; Myxococcia.
CCCGGUGGCUAUAGCGGAAGGGCCCUACCCGAUCCCAUCCCGAACUCGGUCGUCAAGCCUUCCAACGUCGAUGGUACUGCAAAGGUGACU